GUCAAAGAUGGAGGCUGGAGCGGGGAGGCCAUGAGACAGCAGAGCGCUGGUAAACACCAUGCAGAAAAGCCGUAUUGUGGGGUUACAAAGUCUGGGCUGUUUAAGGAGCUCUGUCAUUCCUUUUAAUGGAGCUCACUGACGCAGAUCUGGGUUCUGCCAGCCGAGGAAAUAUUGCUGCUGAGAAAAGGGUUAUUGAAACCCACAAACUAAAUAUUAUAAGCAAGAAUCAAAUGGCAGGACAUUCUGGAGUGUAAUCCCUCCUGAUUUCAGGAGAAGGGGAACAUAUUGGCAUGGAAUGAAGCUCCCUCCAGUCACCUGCYGCAAGACACAUUAUCCAGCUUCCUAACCUUAAGGAUGAGACCCUAUCAAUAUUGCCUCUGCUUUUGUGAUCAGGGUAGUAGUGCAAUAUUGCUUAUAGGGUCUUUUCUUUUGAGGGWUAUUCUUCAUGGAGAGAAGAAAGCCACAGCAGGAAAAAAUAAUCCUAUGUGCCCACCGAGUUAAGGGAAAAGUUGUGAAAUGCUGAGCGUUGUUAGAUAGGCGAGUAAUUGUACAGAGAUGUUAUUUGUGACAAAUAAUCGUGCUAUUCUGGUGACUCAGGUUGUGAGUAAUGGGCAUAUUUCUGAUGCUAUCACASAGGAUUCAAAACGGCCUCGUGUUUAAAACACAAGCAGUGAUUGAAACCAGAGAAACCCAUCAUGGCUCCUUUUUAAAACAGUAUGAGUUCUGAAACGUUUGAAGGGUGUCUAUAUUACAUACUGAUGUAAACACCCACCAAGGGAUGGGAGGAGAUACAUAGCUAUACUUGCUGUUUCUGUGCCUGAUCCCAGCCCGAAAAUCACUGUGAUGCGAAGCAGAGCACAGCACAAAGAGGCCGAGGCUCUAAUCCCAAUAACCUCCGCGAAACAAAGCUCAUGCCUCUGCCCGGCGAGUGCGGCCCGCCGGGCUCCGCGGCUGUGCCCCGCACCCGAGGCUGUUCCAGGGUCGGGCGGCGCAGCGGGGCCGGGAGCAGCCUCCGGCCCUUUCCCGAAAGCUGCUCUCUGAGGUACGUGGGAACGGAGCAGGGAUGGGGGUGUUAAAUCUCCUCUCCGCUUUGUGAGGAUCAGCUGGGGGCUGACAGCAGCCGGGAUGGCCGAGUGGGUGGCCUUGCCUUCCAUUUCAGGUGGUCCCCGCGGUCCCUUUCGGGACCUCAGGGGCCCAGGGAAAGGGGUGGUGGGAGGGGACUGAGGGCCGGAUCAGGGCGCGGCGGAGCAGCCGCUGCCGCGGGGCUUUCUGUGCCGGUCCCCGGGCGCCGCUGCCGCGCGUCUCCCCGGGGCGGCYGGGCUCUCCUCGCCGGCCCGGCGGCGUGCGGGGCAGGGCCCGGAGCCACACCACGGGGCCGUGCCCGCUGCCUCCCCGUUGUAGGGCUGCCGCUGCCCUCGGUUUAACUCCCCCCCCCCCUGAGCUGCCCCCCAGCAUCAUUCCAAUGGGAGGCGGCCAGCUCGGGGACAAAGCCAGGAUCUCCCCACCCCACUCGGGCUCUCCCUCCGUGCCCCCAGCCCGGCAGCCGGGCUGCAGGCCGGGGACUGCCGCAGCUGCUAUGCCAGCGCUGGGACCACCGGCCGGGCUGCCCCUCUUUCCCUGUUGCACUACUGUCACGGUCGCAGCGAGCAGUGCAAUAAUGAAAGGGCGUCAGUGCGCCGGGGAGCGGCGAGAGCCGGGGACGAGCCGGUGACAGCGUGCGGGGACAGGACGUCCCGCCGCCCCCCGAGAGCCACCUUAACGGGGCGGGGGGGGAUACACACGACACUGACGGACGKACUUUGGUUGUGCAACUUUCUUUGUUUAAACACGCAGCGGCGGAGAGCGUGCGCGCAGGGGCAGGGCAAGGUGAGCGGCUCCGCGCACCAUUUGCCCCGGGCCCGCCGCCGCU
Malurus melanocephalus (red-backed fairy wren) is the source of this 1909-nucleotide long non-coding RNA. RefSeq lists it as uncharacterized. The transcript has 3 exons. Lineage: Eukaryota; Metazoa; Chordata; Aves; Passeriformes; Maluridae. The record is from RefSeq and is a predicted model, not a curated record.